Mesocricetus auratus (golden hamster) is the source of this 1376-nucleotide long non-coding RNA. RefSeq lists it as uncharacterized. The record is from RefSeq and is a predicted model, not a curated record. Lineage: Eukaryota; Metazoa; Chordata; Mammalia; Rodentia; Cricetidae. The transcript is spliced from 3 exons.
ACUGUGGAGCAGGAGUCACACUUAGUCCUGGGAGUUUGCGGCUCUGCGGGGGCAGGGAAGAACCAGAGAGACUAUUCCCGCUUGGGUCCUGCCAGGAAGGAGCUCCCAGGCAGCAGCUGGAGAGCGGAGAUCUGCACUGAAGGCAGCUGCCGGCUGAUGGCACAGGAGAGACACGCUUUCUCCCCACAAUCAAAUCUUUCCAAUAUCGUCUGCCCUCGUUUAACUUUGCUCUCAGAGUUUUCCAGUGAGAUGUACUUUCCUAAAACAAUUAAUUCACCAGAGAGUAGACCACAGGAACUUCAAAGCUCAUAGCUUUCAAAGAACGAAUAGAAACAGGAAACAAGUGGUGGAGCAUCAGAAGCAAACUAUUGAAUAGGACCUGGGAUUUAAAACCUGUGCAUAUGUAGACAUCACAAGUGGGUACCUCACAACAUGAUGAGACACGAGGAUGUUGGACAACAUAGCCAGGGUGGGAGACAGCUUGGCUUCAAAAGUUGGUAGAUUUUACCUGUUAUCAAACUAAGAUUGUUUAAUUACAUAAGUAGAAUGAAACUUUCUAUCACUUGUGUGAAUAUUUAUUACUGCUACUGGUUAUGCAUUUUAUUGUGAGGUGUUAUAUCUAGAUGGUAUUUCUGCUCCACUCCAUUUGCCAUCCACAUGUUUGCUGAGAAUAUGCUAUGGAAGUGGGAUCCAGCUAUUUGUUAACCACGGAUGAAAGAGAGUGGGUACUUGUCAUGUGUUACUGAUAUGUGAAUUUUUAUUUUAGCAGGCCUUCCCCAAAUAAGCUUAAUGAGAUGGCAUUUCAGGUAAUGCUGCUGUCUAGUGGAGGAGAAUUUGUCUAAAUUCCAGACUCAUGUCUCUGUCAAUAACCUUCUAUUUGACAGCUUUUGCAUAAAUCUCCUUUUCAGUACAUUCAGUUUAUUUUCACCAUGUUGAAAUAUUUCUCUUAUCCAUUUCAGAUCCUCAGCAUCCUUUGGCCCCCGAUUUACAUGCUUUUCUCUGCUAGUUCAUCAGAAUUGUUUUGUAUCAUUCCAUUUCAUUUCUAGAUUUUGAGUUCUGGGCUGCUAUCAUGAAGCCAGUGAACACUGCUGGUAGCCAAUCUGGUGGUAUGAAUGAAAUGUUUCCUAUAUCCUCAGACAUCUGCAUAUUUAGUCCUUUGUUGUCAUCUCUUUGGGAAGAUUUGAGAGGCAUGGUCUUGCUGGAGGAAUUAUGCUACUAGGGCUCUGCUGUAAAGUUUCAAAAGUCACAUGUUCUUUCCAGUGUGCGACCUCAGCUUUCUGUUUGCAUUUCAAAAUGUUAGCUAGCCCUAAGCUCUUGCAUUUCAGCCCCUAACUCAGUGUACACCGUCUGCUGACCCCAUUAUGGACCUAACCCUC